This 468-nucleotide ribosomal RNA is filed under the name Stephos environmental sample. RNAcentral describes it as "SSU rRNA". It matches the Rfam family "Eukaryotic small subunit ribosomal RNA", at positions 50 to 518 of the family's 1831-position model. The record is from RNAcentral. Lineage: Eukaryota; Metazoa; Arthropoda; Copepoda; Calanoida; Stephidae.
CAUGCAUGUCUAAGUACAAGCCUCACUAAGGUGAAACCGCGAAUGGCUCAUUAAAUCACACCUAAUCUACUGGAUAGUAAACAGUUACUUGGAUAACUGCGGUAAUUCUGGAGCUAAUACAUGCAUAAAGCCCCAACUCACGAAGGGGCGCUUUUAUUAGAUCAAAACCAAACGGCUUCGGCUGUACUUUUGGUGAUUCUGAAUAACUUUGGGCUGAUCGCAUAGCCUUGCGCUGGCGACAUAUCCUUCGAAGGUGUGCCCUAUCAACUGUCGACUGUGGCAUAGACGCCCACAGUGGUUUUGACGGGUAACGGGGAAUCAGGGUUCGAUUCCGGAGAGGGAGCCUUAAAAACGGCUACCACAUCUAAGGAAGGCAGCAGGCACGCAAAUUACCCAAUGACCGAAGGUCGAGGUAGUGACGAAAAAUAACGAUAGCGGUCUCAUCCGAGGUACGCUAAUUGGAAUGAG